This 482-nucleotide ribosomal RNA is filed under the name uncultured Arthrobacter sp. RNAcentral's name for it is "bacterial SSU rRNA". It matches the Rfam family "Bacterial small subunit ribosomal RNA", at positions 30 to 515 of the family's 1533-position model. The record is from RNAcentral. Lineage: Bacteria; Bacillati; Actinomycetota; Actinomycetes; Micrococcales; Micrococcaceae.
UGAACGCUGGCGGCGUGCUUAACACAUGCAAGUCGAACGAUGAUCCCAGCUUGCUGGGGGAUUAGUGGCGAACGGGUGAGUAACACGUGAGUAACCCUGCCCUUGACUCUGGGAUAAGCCUGGGAAACUGGGUCUAAUACCGGAUACGACCAUUCCACGCAUGUGGUGGUGGUGGAAAGCUUUUGUGGUUUUGGAUGGACUCGCGGCCUAUCAGCUUGUUGGUGGGGUAAUGGCCUACCAAGGCGACGACGGGUAGCCGGCCUGAGAGGGUGACCGGCCACACUGGGACUGAGACACGGCCCAGACUCCUACGGGAGGCAGCAGUGGGGAAUAUUGCACAAUGGGCGCAAGCCUGAUGCAGCGACGCCGCGUGAGGGGAUGACGGCCUCGGUUGUAACCGUACUUUCUAGUAGGGAAGAAGCGAAAGUAGACGGUACCGUACAAACGAAACGGACACCGGCGUAACCUAAUGUGCCAGCAGC